RNAcentral lists this ribosomal RNA (905 nucleotides) under Pestalotia torrendii. RNAcentral's name for it is "LSU rRNA". It matches the Rfam family "Eukaryotic large subunit ribosomal RNA", at positions 38 to 966 of the family's 3401-position model. The record is from RNAcentral. Lineage: Eukaryota; Fungi; Ascomycota; Sordariomycetes; Amphisphaeriales; Amphisphaeriaceae.
GCAUAUCAAUAAGCGGAGGAAAAAGAAACCAACAGGGAUUGCCUUAGUAACGGCGAGUGAAGCGGCAAUAGCUCAAAUUUGAAAUCUGGCGCUUGCGUCCGAGUUGUAAUUUGUAGAGGAUGAUUUUGGUUAGGUACCUUUCGAGUUCCUUGGAACAGGACGCCUUAGAGGGUGAGAGCCCCGUACGAUUGGAUGCCGAGCCUCUGUAAAUCUCCUUCGACGAGUCGAGUAGUUUGGGAAUGCUGCUCUAAAUGGGAGGUAAAUUUCUUCUAAAGCUAAAUACCGGCCAGAGACCGAUAGCGCACAAGUAGAGUGAUCGAAAGAUGAAAAGCACUUUGAAAAGAGGGUUAAAUAGCACGUGAAAUUGUUGAAAGGGAAGGAUUUAUGACCAGACUUUUUCUAGGAGGAUCAUCCGGUGUUCUCACCGGUGCACUUCUUCUAGUUUAGGCCAGCAUCGACUUUCGGCGGCGGAUAAAAGCUUCAGGAAUGUGGCUCCUCUCGGGGAGUGUUAUAGCCUGUUGUAUAAUACGCUGCUGGGGGUCGAGGUACGCGCUUCUGCAAGGAUGCUGGCGUAAUGGUUAUCAAUCACCCGUCUUGAAACACGGACCAAGGAGUCGAACAUUUAUGCGAGUGUUUGGGUGUUAAACCCUCACGCGUAAUGAAAGUGAACGGAGGUGAGAGCCCUUACGGGUGCAUCAUCGACCGAUCCUGAAGUUUUCGGAUGGAUUUGAGUAAGAGCAUAACUGUUCGGACCCGAAAGAUGGUGAACUAUGCGUGGAUAGGGUGAAGCCAGAGGAAACUCUGGUGGAGGCUCGCAGCGGUUCUGACGUGCAAAUCGAUCGUCAAAUCUGCGCAUGGGGGGCGAAAGACUAAUCGAACCAUCUAGUAGCUGGUUACCGCCGAAG